AGAGUUUGAUCAUGGCUCAGAACGAACGCUGGCGGCAUGCCUAACACAUGCAAGUCGGACGCUUUUGGGGUUUCGGCCUCAAGGGAGUGGCGGACGGGUGAGUAGCGCGUGGGAACCUGCCCCUUUGUGGGGGAUAACCGAGGGAAACUUCGGCUAAUACCGCAUGCGCCCCGGCGAAAGCUGGGGGAAAGAUUUAUCGCAGAGGGAGGGGCCCGCGUCGGAUUAGGUAGUUGGUGGGGUAACGGCCUACCAAGCCGGUGAUCCGUAGCUGGUCUGAGAGGAUGAUCAGCCACACUGGGACUGAGACACGGCCCAGACUCCUACGGGAGGCAGCAGUGGGGAAUAUUGGACAAUGGGCGCAAGCCUGAUCCAGCAAUGCCGCGUGAGUGAUGAAGGCCUUCGGGUUGUAAAGCUCUUUCGGCGGGGACGAUGAUGACGGUACCCGCAGAAGAAGCCCCGGCUAACUUCGUGCCAGCAGCCGCGGUAAUACGAAGGGGGCGAGCGUUGUUCGGAUUUACUGGGCGUAAAGGGCGCGUAGGCGGCGGGUCAAGUCGAGUGUGAAAGCCCCGGGCUCAACCUGGGAAUUGCGCUCGAGACUGGUCUGCUUGAGUUCGGGAGAGGAGAGUGGAAUUCCCAGUGUAGAGGUGAAAUUCGUAGAUAUUGGGAAGAACACCGGUGGCGAAGGCGGCUCUCUGGACCGAGACUGACGCUGAGGCGCGAAAGCGUGGGGAGCAAACAGGAUUAGAUACCCUAGUAGUCC
RNAcentral lists this ribosomal RNA (760 nucleotides) under uncultured bacterium. RNAcentral's name for it is "bacterial SSU rRNA". It matches the Rfam family "Bacterial small subunit ribosomal RNA", at positions 8 to 796 of the family's 1533-position model. The record is from RNAcentral.